Biomphalaria pfeifferi is the source of this 256-nucleotide non-coding RNA. The record is from the annotation of a GenBank genome assembly. Lineage: Eukaryota; Metazoa; Mollusca; Gastropoda; Planorbidae.
CAAGUUUCUCAAUGUAUUUAAUUGAUCUGAUCAAAUGGUAAAGUUUAAAAAAAACAAUGCAUGACCAAAAUGUUUCCAGAAUAUUUCAAUCCAUUCACACAUUGACAAGCUUGGGCCCUGUCUGACUUGCAGCUAAUACUAGGGCACAUCAUUCAACUUAUUGUUACACUCAAUAGAUCUCCCCUAGUUUCCCAAUGGCAGUUGAAUUCGGAUAUCAAUAAAAAUGUAUUCCAAACAAAAAAAAAGGGGGGGGGGG